Molecule: ribosomal RNA, 503 nt
Filed under: uncultured bacterium
Lineage: Bacteria
Description: bacterial SSU rRNA
Rfam family: Bacterial small subunit ribosomal RNA
Source: RNAcentral
AGAGUUUGAUCAUGGCUCAGGAUUAACGCUGGCGGCGUGCCUAAUGCAUGCAAGUCGAACGUGGUCCCUUCGGGGGCAAACGUGGCGGACGGGUGAGGAACACGUGGGGAACCUGCCCACUGGUGGGGGGUAGCCCGCGGAAACGCGGGGUAAUUCCGCAUACGCUGCACGGGGGGUAGCCCGGUGCAGGAAAGGGACCUUCGGGUCUCGCCGGUGGAGGGGCCUGCGUCCGAUUAGCUAGUUGGUGGGGUAACGGCCUACCAAGGCGGUGAUCGGUAGCUGGUCUGAGAGGACGGCCAGCCACAGGGGGACUGAGACACGGCCCCCACUCCUACGGGAGGCAGCAGCAAGGAGUUUUCCGCAAUGGGCGCAAGCCUGACGGAGCAACGCCGCGUGGGGGAUGACGCCCUUCGGGGUGUAAACCCCUUUUCUUGGGGACGAAGCAGUGACGGUACCCGAGGAAGAAGGCCCGGCUAACUACGUGCCAGCAGCCGCGGUAAUUC